GGCUGAACAAUAUUAAGAACAUUUAAAUGUAUGAGCAUAUGACAUUUCUGCAUGUUGUCAAAUGGUGGGUCCAUAUGUGUGCCAAAUGGCAGUAGAAUCUCUCCAGCAUCUCUCUCUUUUCCAGCCUUGCUAUCUGGACUUUUAAUGAAGAUGUCAGGAUUUUAACCCAGGGCCUUUUAUUCACAAAGGUUGUGUUUUACAACUGGGUGGUGGUUGUUCCUUUUGAUAAAUAAAUUGCGCUGAGAGCCCAGCUUCAGCUUUCUGUAAGAAGCAAUUAAGGGUUAGAGUGCUUGGCUUGGACUAAGAAGACCCAUGUUCAAAUCCUCACCCAGUCAUGCAAUACACUGGGUGACUUUGUACUGUUUCUUAGCCUUGCCUCUCUUACAAGGUGGUAUUACAGACAGAGCAUCACUGUGAGUCUAUUAAUAACAGACUUUUAGGAGAAAAGGUAUUCCUGCAAAUACUCAUCAUAACAAGCUACUAGCAUUUUUUUUUAACUCUUUGGCAAAAUAUAAUCAAUUGGGGCUAACAGAAUAACAGUAUAUUAAAAUAACUUACAAUUGCCACUUCGAGUUAAAAUUUGUAAGCUAGGGUUUUAGUUGCGUGGUUGCUAAAAGCAAUUGUGGUCCUUUAAAAGAUACAGGAAAAGCCCUGCUCACCCUUUUGAGGCCUUUGAAUUUCUGUCUGCUAACUGGCAGAAUAGAACCUUGAUUGAGAUUUUGCAUGAGUGGGAUGAAUGCCGGCUGUUGAAAGCCAGAAACAGAUGAUCAUGAUUUGUAUCCCUACUUGGAAGUUGCUUCUUAAUUGGCAUGCUUGGGCAUAAUGAUGUUCCUAACAUCUUUAUCAUGUAAAUGGCCUCUCAUGGUUGAAUAUGUAUUGAUCUCUUUGGAACGCUCACAGAAGCAGUCUUUCAUGUUGAAUUACCGGAACUUUGCACUUCAGCCUGAGUUAUAUUGAUGCCUAAAGGACUGCCUCCUGGCUUGCCAGAAUGUACAGUUUAAAAGGCAAUAGUUCAGCUGCAGACCUGAUCAAUAUCCGGUAACUGCAGCAUAGUUGACUCACCUUCUAGGACAGUUUGAAUAUGAGCGUGUUUUGGCGUCAUCAGAACGAUUGCUGUCAUCUGUCCUAGCAUUCUGUUCUUCCUUCCAGCAAGCCACUGAGAUGGUGCAGGGAAAGAUGAGUAAGGCUCCAAAAGGCUGCUUUUUGCCAUACUUGGAUUAGGGUAGUACAGUGCUCCCCAAUUUCUGCACAGCAACUUGGAUGUCAAGGUGCCCUGCAGGAUAUAUAUAUGCUCUACAGGUAACAGAUUAUUCCUGGCUUUAUCUUGCAGACCUCUUGAUUGCCAGCCACUGUGCAUCUUGGUUUUUAUUGCUAUAAUCUGCCCUAGUAGGGACUAAUCUAGAGUGAUAAAUCUUGAUAAGGGAUGUCCAGCUUCUGUAAAAUCUAGGCCUAUUAUGUUCUUCUGCAAUGUUUUGUGAGCUAGGGGGUUUAGUUUUGUUCUGCAAACAUGUCUCUUUGCAUGUAGUCAGGUGUCAUAGUUGGCCAUCACAGUUAUAGAGCUCAUAUCAUAGAAAUGCAGAAUUGGAAGGGACCCUGAGGAUCAUCUAAUCCAGUGGUUCUCAACCUGUGGGUCCCCAGAUAUUGUUGGACUACAACUCCCAUCAUCCCUGAGCUCUGGCCUUGCUAGCUAGGGGUGAUGGGAGUUGUAGUUCAACAGCAUCUGGGGACCCACAGGUUGAGAAAGGCUGACUAAUCCAACCCCCUGCAAUGCGGGAAUAUGCAGCUGUCUCAUAAAGGGAUCGAACCUACAACCUUGAUGUUAUCAAAUGUGCAAGUUUAUAAAAGUUUAGAAAUUGCACUGCAAAGGGGACUUGUAAUAAACAGAUAUUUGUUCCUUUAGUUAUAACUUGACAUUGUUUUUCUUCUCUUUGUGAUUGAAAUUGUGUAAAUUGGCGCAGCUAGAUGACCGUUGGAUCCUUUCCAACUCUACAAUUCUAUCAUUUUAAAUUGAUUAAAAUUUGGUAAGACUUCCAGUGGCUAUGUUGAAAUUGCCUUUGGGUCCAGAUUUGGCAGGUGGGUUGCCUGUUGGCGAUUUCUCAGAUAGAGAGUGGCAUUCUUGUUAUGCAGUUGAUAAACUUUUUUAUUAUAGGAAUCCUAAUAACGUUGGGCAUCUAUUGCUUAUUCACAUUGACUUAUCUCCCAAGAAAAUCUGUAAAUCUCAAACAGAGAUACAAUUACUCAGACCACUCUGUGGUCCAAAACCUUGUGUCUCAAAUGUCAUCCUGUGUUGUGGCCAGUUCCCAUAGCAUUUUUUUCCCCAAAGAACAGAGUGCUCUUUUAUUCAUUUUAUUGUAGCUGACACCAGGUCUCACUUUUAUUUCCACAAUUGCUUUUCUUCUCUUAGCGGUAUAUGCUACUUAGUUGAUUUUCUUUUACUUUCUGUGGCCUUCCUGGUCUUUUCUUCCUUCAGCACUGCUUCAACCAUCCUCAACCAUCCCCAACCAACUCACCCUCCUUUUGUUUAUCGUCACACAUCUCAAAAGGUGGGUUUCUCUGCCUUCAGGCUGCCUUUGUCGCUGCCUUGUUGGACCUUGAUAUUCUUCUACAAACUCUGUACAUCACUUUAU
RNAcentral lists this long non-coding RNA (2627 nucleotides) under Podarcis lilfordi (Lilford's wall lizard). The record is from RNAcentral. Lineage: Eukaryota; Metazoa; Chordata; Lepidosauria; Squamata; Lacertidae.